UCGAACGAUGAAGCCAGCUUGCUGGUGGAUUAGUGGCGAACGGGUGAGUAACACGUGGGUGAUCUGCCCCAAACUUUGGGAUAAGCCUGGGAAACUGGGUCUAAUACCGAAUAUGACCGAUACUCGCAUGGGUGUUGGUGGAAAGCUCCGGCGGUUUGGGAUGGGCCCGCGGCCUAUCAGCUUGUUGGUGGGGUAAUGGCCUACCAAGGCGACGACGGGUAGCCGGCCUGAGAGGGCGACCGGCCACACUGGGACUGAGACACGGCCCAGACUCCUACGGGAGGCAGCAGUGGGGAAUAUUGCACAAUGGGCGCAAGCCUGAUGCAGCGACGCCGCGUGAGGGAUGACGGCCUUCGGGUUGUAAACCUCUUUCACCAGGGACGAAGCGAAAGUGACGGUACCUGGAGAAGAAGCACCGGCCAACUACGUGCCAGCAGCCGCGGUAAUACGUAGGGUGCGAGCGUUGUCCGGAAUUACUGGGCGUAAAGAGCUCGUAGGCGGUUUGUCGCGUCGUUCGUGAAAACUUGGGGCUUAACUCCAAGCGUGCGGGCGAUACGGGCAGACUUGAGUACUACAGGGGAGACUGGAAUUCCUGGUGUAGCGGUGAAAUGCGCAGAUAUCAGGAGGAACACCGGUGGCGAAGGCGGGUCUCUGGGUAGUAACUGACGCUGAGGAGCGAAAGCGUGGGUAGCGAACAGGAUUAGAUACCCUGGUAGUCCACGCCGUAAACGGUGGGUACUAGGUGUGGGUUCCUUUUCACGGGAUCCGUGCCGUAGCUAACGCAUUAAGUACCCCGCCUGGGGAGUACGGCCGCAAGGCUAAAACUCAAAGGAAUUGACGGG
RNAcentral lists this ribosomal RNA (842 nucleotides) under Williamsia sp. RNAcentral describes it as "bacterial SSU rRNA". It matches the Rfam family "Bacterial small subunit ribosomal RNA", at positions 62 to 917 of the family's 1533-position model. Lineage: Bacteria; Bacillati; Actinomycetota; Actinomycetes; Mycobacteriales; Nocardiaceae. The record is from RNAcentral.